Long non-coding RNA from Rosa chinensis, 408 nucleotides. RefSeq lists it as uncharacterized. The transcript is spliced from 3 exons. NCBI's taxonomy places the organism in Eukaryota, Viridiplantae, Streptophyta, Magnoliopsida, Rosales, Rosaceae. The record is from RefSeq and is a predicted model, not a curated record.
GAUGAUUUUUAUGUUGGUUUGUUUGUUGCCGAUUGAUUAAACUUACUGCUGUCUUCUAUUUUAUUGUUGAAGUGGGAUCAAAAUUUACAAUGCUCAAAGAAAUAGGUCUGGCCGGAAAUCAAUAGUGUGGCAAAACAUGGGGGGUAUUCCGGCACAACAAAAUGUGAAGGACUGUGGCAUAUUCAUCAUGCGGUACAUGAAGGAAAUAAUUGAGGAUAAGAAACUGGGUUUUGCUUCAAAGUGGCAGCGACGAUCCGAAUUGUUCUACACCCAAAAGGAUGUUGAUGUUGUGAGGUCAGAGUGGGCUAAGUUUGUGAUGAAGUAUCAUAUUGCAUAGCUGUGAUGGUUGUUCAAGGCAGGGCUCUUAUUUUGGUAUUUUGAUCACCUGCCUCCUGCUAGCUGGUUUUA